This 488-nucleotide ribosomal RNA is filed under the name uncultured bacterium. Its description in RNAcentral is "partial 16S ribosomal RNA". It matches the Rfam family "Bacterial small subunit ribosomal RNA", at positions 28 to 507 of the family's 1533-position model. The record is from RNAcentral.
GAUGAACGCUGACAGCAUGCUUAACACAUGCAAGUCAACCUGAAUUUGGGUUUUUAACCUAGGUUUGGGUGGCGGACGGGUGAGUAACGCGUAAAGAACUUGCCUCACAGCUAGGGACAACAUUUGGAAACGAAUGCUAAUACCUAAUAUUAUGAUAAUAGGGCCUCCUAUAAUUAUGAAAGCUAUAAGCGCUGUGAGAGAGCUUUGCGUCCCAUUAGCUAGUUGGGGAGGUAACUGCUCACCAAGGCGACGAUGGGUAGCCGGCCUGAGAGGGUGAUCGGCCACACUGGAACUGAGACACGGUCCAGACUCCUACGGGAGGCAGCAGUAGGGAAUAUUGAGGAAUGGGCGAAAGACGGAUGGAGCAAUGCCGCGUGAGUGAAGAAGGUAUUCUGAUCGUAAAACUAUGUUAGUAGGGAAGAAAAAAAGUGUAAGUAAAUAUGGACGUCUUGACGGUACCUAAUCAGAAAGCAACGGCUAACUACGUG